AACAUUCAGCGCUGUCGGUGAGU
This 23-nucleotide microRNA is filed under the name Mus musculus (house mouse). RNAcentral describes it as "piRNA piR-mmu-49401620". RNAcentral also lists the same sequence under 1 other name. Lineage: Eukaryota; Metazoa; Chordata; Mammalia; Rodentia; Muridae. The record is from RNAcentral.